Molecule: unclassified non-coding RNA, 2726 nt
Filed under: Rhagoletis pomonella (apple maggot)
Lineage: Eukaryota; Metazoa; Arthropoda; Insecta; Diptera; Tephritidae
Description: nuclear hormone receptor HR78, transcript variant X5
Source: RNAcentral
AUUUUCAAUGCAACCAUGCUAAUCGACGACAAGUGCAAUAGAAGAUAAGAAAAAGGGGUGUAGGAGUUGUGAUUUUGAGCAAUUUUAGGCAUUCUGCCUUUGAAUAAUAAUUUUUUGCUUUUUGUCACUGCAUGAGUGAUUAGUAUCUUACUUAAAUAUAUUUAUUAAUACCAGUUAUCAGUUUCCAUGUGCUUCCAAAUUAGUGUGUUCGAGACGUAUUGACCUCGAGUGAACCGAAGUUGAGCGACCUCCCAAGAACAUCAAUGUAGCGGAAAGCAACAUAAAAGAACACAAUUAAACCAGUGGAAAUAAUCAGUCUCACACAAUAGAAGAUAGAACUAAGGUCGUACAAAUAAGAGCAUCUGAAGUGUUUGCAUUGGUAUAUGUAUCACGUCCGAUAUGGGCGCAAAUGGUUUCAAAACCGAAGAUAACAAAGCAGCAGUUACAAUUGUGCAUCACGUUACUGGAAGCGGCAAUGGUACUAGUAGUGGCAGUGUAGCAAAUAACACGACUGCGGCCAAUAUGAGCAUUGAGACGUGUCUGGUAUGUGGAGAUCGCGCAUCAGGUCGCCAUUAUGGAGCUAUAUCAUGUGAAGGUUGCAAGGGCUUCUUCAAGCGUUCCAUACGCAAGCAGUUGGGUUAUCAAUGCCGAGGCUCGAUGAACUGUGAAGUAACCAAACAUCAUCGCAAUCGCUGUCAAUUUUGUCGUCUACAAAAAUGUUUAGCCAGCGGAAUGCGAAGUGAUUCUGUUCAACAUGAACGAAAACCGAUUGUUGAUAAGAAGGAGUUUGCCGGCAGCUCUUCUUCGGGCUCUUCUACUUCAACAGUUAAUGCUGCGGCAGCUGCAGCUGCUUUGAAUGCCAACAAUUCUGCUACCGGUGGAGGAAAUAUGCUAUUUAGUCAUAACUUAGCAAACAGCGGUGUACCCGCCAAUAACAAUGAAGUACCAUCGACCUCGAAGCCUUCUUCCAUAUUUCCAUUUAAUUUGGCAUUGCCUGAAAUGAGACAGGCAAUGGCAAACAAUGCUGAUGUAGCCGUUCCACCUUUACCAUUUCACCUUACUUUUGCUGAUAUGAGACAAAUAAUACAAAAUGCGAAAAACUUUCAGCAAGAAAAAGAACUUUCUGCGCAAACUCAACCACCACAGUCGCUCUUCUAUUCACCGGAUUUGGCAAAGAUCGGCGAUGAAGAUGAAGAUGAUGACGAAUCUUUGGACAAUAGCAGCACCACGUGCCUACAAAACCUAACCACAAACGCCAAUAAUAAUAACACCCAAAAUUUGAACCUUAACAUUGACCCAAUGCACAGCCCUGCCACAGCGGUCGCACAAAUACAGGUGUCAUUGGACAGACGUGUUAUUGAAAAAGCAUUACAAUUGCUGAUUCCCAUUCAAAAUCAAUUGGACCGUUUGUCCUUGGCCGCAGGCGGUGCAAGCAUAAGUGGCAACAUCGAUGGAUCGCCAAUCAUCAAAAGCGAAAUAGAAGACGAAGACAUGGGCGAAGACAGCGGCGCCGAGGAUGUAUACGAUUUGGCUGAAGCGAUACUUGGAGUUGGGAAUAUAAAGAAUUUCGUUAUAAACGAGUCUGUCUUCGAGAAUGAAGUGUUGUCGGACGCUCAAGCCACUUUUAACCUUCAAGCUCCCACUUUGGUGUCAGCUUAUCUCAAUCUUCAUUACAUUUGUGAAACUGGUUCACGCAUAAUUUUCCUUAGCAUCUUUUGGAUGCGUAAAAUAAUGGCUUUCGAUCAACUGGACAUACGCUCUCAAAUUAAAUUGCUGCGAGCCAGCUGGCCCGGCUUGUUGGCAAUAGCAUUAGCACAAGUGAGGAGCCUGUCGGUUAGCACAAUUAUUACCACGCUGGUGGCAAAUGUACGACAACUGGCAGAGAUUGAAAAAAUCGAACCGCAAAAGAUACGAAAGCUGAGUGAACACAUUUCUCGUCUGCAUUCGUAUAUUCAAGAUACGCUCGCAUUGGAUUUGGAUGACAUGGAAUUCGCACUGCUGCGCCUCGCUAUUUUCUUUAACCCGCACAUGCUACCGAGAAAUCGAGAACGCAAUGUAAGAGACUUUGUGCGACGCGUACAACUUUAUGUACUGUCAAGCUUACGUAAACAUAUCGCAAGUCAAUUAGGUAAUGAAAUGCAAGCGGAGGAACGUUUUAGUACGCUGGUUCUCACUCUAUUACCAUUAGCGGCCUUAGAAUCGGAUGUUGUGGAAGAAUUAUUUUUUUCUAGCUUAAUUGGACAAGUGCAGAUUGACAAUAUGAUACCUUAUAUUUUAACACUGAGCGCCAACACAAGCCUAUAAUAAGUCAUUCAUUGAGCGGCUUUAAGCGCCAAAUGGCAAGAAUUUUCCACGAAAUGAAAACUGUGUCACCUUUGCUGUGCUCUCAGAGCAAGCACUCGACUGCAUCCACCCGGGGAUCACCCACCGCGCUCCUUCAAUUCAAUAUCGUAGUCUCAUUGAAAUCGCAUAACAGCGACUUGGAUGGCUAGUACUUAAGUAUUCGAAGACCAACUCCACUUGGCUUCGCUUUCUUCCCCAAACUAGGGUAACCGACUUAAAUACGUGUUCUGGGAAGCUAAAUAAAUUACAACAAACCUAGAAGUUUCGAGUCCGCACUUGAGUGUUAGUAAAUGCAUUGCAUUCUGCUAAUGCUAACUUUUAAAGUCAAUAAAAAUUAUAUUAUACAUAAUUAAGUGACAAUAAUAACAGACUGAAGUAAAUAU